AUCUAGUUAAUUAGUGUUAUCGA
RNAcentral lists this small nuclear RNA (23 nucleotides) under Arabidopsis thaliana (thale cress). RNAcentral's name for it is "snRNA_02246". The record is from RNAcentral. Lineage: Eukaryota; Viridiplantae; Streptophyta; Magnoliopsida; Brassicales; Brassicaceae.